RNA transcript from Pectinophora gossypiella (pink bollworm), 323 nucleotides. It is a transcript of the gene named dolichyl-diphosphooligosaccharide--protein glycosyltransferase subunit 4, with no coding region annotated. The transcript has 3 exons. NCBI's taxonomy places the organism in Eukaryota, Metazoa, Arthropoda, Insecta, Lepidoptera, Gelechiidae. The record is from RefSeq and is a predicted model, not a curated record.
UCUUUGGUAAUACCGCCAUAAAAAAAACUGAUUGACGUGUUAUUAUUUUGCGGUACGUGGAUUGCAAUAAAAAUAUUAAAUUCGUAUUACAUACUGCUAAUUUAUAUCAGUACAGUAAACGAACUAAUCCAGUAAUAUGAUCUCCGACAUUCAGUUAGCUGUGUUCUCCAACAUCCUGGGUGUAUCCAUCUUUCUGCUGGUCAUCCUCUACCAUUAUAUCAACGCAAAUAGUUCUAAAUAAAUAUGUGCACAACUAUUAACAUUUUUUAUUCUACACAACAUUCUGCAAUUUACUUUAAGAUGUAAAUAAAAUCGCCUUAUAA